GCCACUGUAGCUCAGGGGUAGAGCAACGCAUUCGUAAUGCGUGGGUCGUCGGUUCAAUUCCGACUAGUGGCUCCA
This 75-nucleotide transfer RNA is filed under the name Akkermansia muciniphila. RNAcentral describes it as "tRNA-Thr". It matches the Rfam family "tRNA". Rfam says of the family: Transfer RNA (tRNA) molecules are approximately 80 nucleotides in length. Their secondary structure includes four short double-helical elements and three loops (D, anti-codon, and T loops). Further hydrogen bonds mediate the characteristic L-shaped molecular structure. tRNAs have two regions of fundamental functional importance: the anti-codon, which is responsible for specific mRNA codon recognition, and the 3' end, to which the tRNAs corresponding amino acid is attached (by aminoacyl-tRNA synthetases). tRNAs cope with the degeneracy of the genetic code in two manners: having more than one tRNA (with a specific anti-codon) for a particular amino acid; and 'wobble' base-pairing, i.e. permitting non-standard base-pairing at the 3rd anti-codon position. The record is from RNAcentral. Lineage: Bacteria; Pseudomonadati; Verrucomicrobiota; Verrucomicrobiia; Verrucomicrobiales; Akkermansiaceae.